CUAAAACCCCAGCUUCCCCAUUUGGCCAUUUCCUCCACUGAUCUCCUCUCUCUUUCUCUCAAAGCUCUGUGAUGGCAUCAUCUGCAGAGACCCCAUAUCUGCUUUGAACCUAAAACCCUUCUAAGAGCCCUCAAUUUCUAAAUGUCUCUCUUCAAAACUCUCCUCCUCUCUAACCAUACAAAAGUUCUUCUCAAAACCCAAAACCCUCUUUACAAAAGCCUCCCUCCUUCACCAACCUUCAUAAUCAGAACCCUUAAUUCCUCUCCCCAUAAACCAACCAAGAAGCCGCUUUCUCUAUUGUUUCAAGAUGCAGUUGGUUUAACUGAAAAUACUGGUGGAAAUGAAAGCCAGAGCGAAAGUGAAGGCGAGAAUAUUGAGCUAAUAAGGGAAUUAAGGCAAUUGGAGAGAGAAGUUACGAAGUUGAAAGAAAACCCAAAAGGGAAAAAUAAAGAAAAAGAGGGAGUAGAGAGGGGAAAACCCAAUAAAGUUAAGAGUUUGGUUGAGUUGUUUGGGGGUGAAAAGGAAGAAGAGGUGGAAAAGAUUGUGAAAGUGAGGAAAGAAAGGGAAGAGGUAGUUUUCAAGGAUUUUUCGCAGUUAGCUGAGAAUUUCGUUAGGCAUUUGUAUGCCAAAGGGUAUUUUAACAAAGCUAAUUUUUUGGAAGAUAACAAGUUAGAUUUUGGUUAUUUUGAUAAUAGUUAUGGCAGGGAUUUCAUCAAAUAUGCUGCUUUCAAGUUUGGUAAAGAUCAUCAAGAGAUUGCAAAGUGGUUGUCUGGCAAUCACUUGAAAAAGGUGGUGCUCUUUGGUUGCCCUUCCCUUGAUAAAAAUAAUGUCUUUGCUGCCAAGAGAUUGCGCAAGUUCUUUAAAAUUGAAGAAAACAUCGUAUGCAGUCAAUGCAUGUUAAAGGAUUCAUGCAAGUAUGUUAAUAAAAGUGUAUGGAGAGCUGGUACCAAGAAUUUGCUUCUGGUUGAUGUAAUGAAGGUUAUUGCUUUGUAUGCUUUAGACCAAGUGCCUCCAAAGCUCACAGUUCCGGAUGAAGUAAAGGAUUCGGUCAGCCGAUUGCUGAAGGAGGUUAUAAAGCUAAGUCAACCUACAUAACAAGGCUUCUAAAAAUGUUCCUACAGGUACUUAACAGUGAAUUCAGCUGUAACAGCUUCACAAUUAUCAUGUUGACAGUUCCCAUUUGAUUUGUUUGCUUCAUCAUAGUACAGAUUAUUGAUACGAUCACAAGAAACAUGGAUAAAGUUUUUACUGGUAAUGAUCUUAUUGGCAGACCAGCACAUGUCUAGAGAAGGGUUUUUGAAGUAAAAUAUGGAUGGCUGGUGUCCCAGGAAUGUAAUUUAUAUUCAUGAAUGAUGCAAUUCCUUUGUUGACUGCUUGCAAAGCUCUAGAUUAUACAGGACUACCCACCUAUAAGAUUUUGAAUCAGAUUUGCAUUGCUGAUGCAUACAUGCAAUUCAACUGGGGAUAUGUUAUCUGGAAAUCGAAACGUAGAAGUUCCAGCAUAGGAAAAUUCAAAUAGUGAAGCAAUUGGACACUUGGUCCAUCCAAGUAACAAGCUAGAAGAAUAGAUUUUCUCAUUGACUAAACUUUUCUUUAUGGGUUAUGUGUUUCUGGCAUUCACGCAUAGGAUUUGGGGUAGUGGAGUUGUUCAACAGUUUCUUCUUUAAUGUCUGGCAAGUCAAACUUUGGGAUUGUAGACAUGCAGCCAGCCAUGAAAGCUCUUUGGAAGUUUAAGUUAAAACUUUGAGGACAUGCUUGGUUGGAAGGAAUGAAAUAAUCAUUCUUUUUUUA
Molecule: non-coding RNA, 1791 nt
Organism: Theobroma cacao (cacao)
Lineage: Eukaryota; Viridiplantae; Streptophyta; Magnoliopsida; Malvales; Malvaceae
Source: RefSeq, a predicted model, not a curated record